UGCUUAGUGCCCUCUAAUGGCAGACGGCAUCAACAAUUAAUACCAAAACACCCCUCACCCCGCGGAAAAGGGCAGCUUUCCAAAGCCGCCUCUCCUCCUGCAGGGGACGGAUCCCAGGCGCAAGGUGCCUACAGGGGGCCGGACCCCCAAACCCUCCCCAUCCCCGGGCAACGCCCCCUGGGGAGCGGGGGUAAAGGGGCUUGUCCCGGUCACCGGCGGGGGUCCCGUCUCGAAAAGGCUGGGGGGCAGCGGCGAGGCUGCCCCGGCUCGCCCCCGCACCGAGCGCCCCGCUCCCGGCACCGCGCCGCUGGGGCGCAGGUUCCCCGCUCUGCUCCUGCUCUCUCUCUCUCUCUCUCUCUCUCUCUUUUUUUUUUUUUUUUCCCCCCAAGUUUGUCUGUGUUUUUUUUUUUUUUUUUUUUUUCAUAAUUGGCCAAUGCGGUGUUUAUCCUGAUAAUGUUUUCAAUUAUAAAGGGGCAUUUUCAGGCCGUAUUCCUGGAAAUGAGAUGCCGGAUGGGUCGAUAACGUUUGCACAUGUGCUUCAUGCGUGCAUCAUCGGGAGAUCAAUAUGAUUGCGCUGGAGUUGUUGCCUGUGUCAAGGAUGGCCACUUCAGGACCAUCAUUUUCAUAAAGAGCAUGUCUGUAUAAAGUUUUCUCGGGUGUGAACAGAACUGCAAGCAAAAGCUGAUUAUUUGGAAGAUAUCUUGAUUUGGGUCAAGAAAAAUUGGAAACUUAUCUUGACACAUCCCUGCCUAAAAUUCAGGAGAGGUGAAGAAGCUUCUAGCAUCCUCCCGUUGUCCUGGAUGCACGCAUCAUCUGAUUUGGUUUCUCACACAGAUGGCUUCUUCCACGGAGCAAGAGCUCAAAUAAAGGUAGAACGUCCUCUUCUGGUAGCAGAGAAACCUUACUAGCUUCACCUAAUUGUCCUGGUUACCACAAAAAUUAGGGCCCUUUUUUGCAAAAUGGCACUUUUAUGAAAGCUCUCCUAUUUUACAUUUCUGAUACCAAAUUUAAGGACUUUUCUGACCACCAUUGCAUUAUUGCAGUUUAUAAGCUUUUCUUUCAUCUGUUUGUUUUGUUUUGUUUUCCCCAGUGUGGGCAAUUCAAUCCUUUACCUGCUGUACAAAUGUCAAGUACUGCUUUUCAGAGUAGCACAAGAACUUGGAAUGUAAAAGUCCAUUUUGUAAUUUAGCCAAGACUUUUUCAUGAAAAACAAGCAAACCAGUUCUUGAUAAAACUAAGCCCCUCAAAUGUAUUAACUAAAUUCUGGUGUUAUGCUCUUCAGGUGUUACAUAUGUGUGCUAUUACAGUGAAGUUAUACCUACACAUAAGUGAGAUGGUUAAAUACAGAACUUAUACUGUAUGGUAUUGGUAAAAGUUGUGCUUAUGAGAGGAAUACAAAUACAUUCAAUUAUUAUUAUUAUUAUGUUUUAAAUUGACCAAAGGGUUUUCAGGUAGUGUACAAUGGACUGAAUUAAGAGGUAAAAGGGAUUUUACCUAAUAAAUAUCACUGGGAGGUGCGGGAAAUGCAAAGGGAGUAUAAGUUUGCUCAUCAGUCAAUAUUUUGUAAGUCACAUCUAAAAAGCCGUUACCAUCUUUGACCAAGACAGCUGGAAACACUCUGUUUGUAACUUCUUCUUGUACUCUAUUUGGAACUUCUUCCUGUGGUUGAAUUGAAAUAAGAAGUUGAACAUGGUCAACUACUCCUCUUGUAGGUGGCACUGUGAACCAGCACUGAGGAAGUGAGGCAGGCCUUACUAUUCAGUACCCACUGCUAACAGGAUGUGAUUUGGUGAGAGAACAGAAAACAACUAGAGGCACAGACCAUGGAAUUGCUAGGGCAGAAGACUCUCCAGUUUCUGAGAUUGCAAUGUGUUCAGUAGCAGGAAUUCCAACCUCGACUCUGAAUGAAAUUUUGAGAAUGUAGGAAAAAGAAAAUGUAGUAAUUGCUGGCAACCUACUCUGAACAGCCAUUUAGGCUGCUGCUGUUUUGAAGAAAUGCCUAAAUGCCAGAAAGGCAUCACCACCAUACCUAGACAACCCAUUUUCCGUGUAAAGGAUUAAGAAUUGUCAUAGAGGAAUGGAGCAUGGAAAGAGCAAAGAUGUCAGAUAUAACAGUUCCUGGAAGACCAGUAUUAAGUGAAUCUUCAGUGGUCCUUAGUCGUAUACUAAGUGCAAAAUGUCUCUUGCCCAGCUUCCUGACUGGCAAAUUGCCUUUCCUACUUCCAUAACUCUGCCAAGAGGAGCUAUGUCACAAUUGGUGAUAUAACACCAAAUUUUUAAGUUAAAAUAAUAGAUGAGGCACAUGGUGCUUUGGGAAUGGUAGGGUUAUAUGUGGUUAUUGUACUUUUAAGGUCUGGAACGUUUAGUGUGGCAGACUUUAAAAGACAUGUCAGUUGGCAAUCAGUUGCAGCUGGAACAGGAUUGGAGACAAAUCUCAAGAUUAAAGUGAGGACGGACGUAGUUUGUAAAUAACUACUGUGAAAAUUCAAUUAAUUUUUGCUAUUACAUUAUUUUUCUUCUUGUUAUUUUGAUUCUACUAAAGAUAAUGCAGAGGGCAUAUCUGAUUCAUUGGAUAUGUGGAGUCACAUCAUUUUCUAAUCCAAAAAAGGAUUUGUUUUACUGGAGGUCCCAGCCUGAAGCUUAAAUGGAAUAAAAAUUGUUGUUGAGACUGCUACCCAUAGCCAACUGUGAAAAACUUAAUAUAGCAUGGCCAAAAGGGUAACAA
Molecule: long non-coding RNA, 2725 nt
Organism: Anas platyrhynchos (mallard)
Lineage: Eukaryota; Metazoa; Chordata; Aves; Anseriformes; Anatidae
Source: RefSeq, a predicted model, not a curated record